CGUAACACGCUCUGAGCCCAUGGAUACCAAGAAAUAUUUUUAGAAUAACUGAAUUUUCUAUGUUUUUCCUGCAGAGAAGAGACUUGCCUUUGUCAGCUCAGUUUAGAUAGCAGGUCUGCUUGACAAUUCUAUUUCUCACCAUAAAUUAAAAAUUGACAUUUUGAUCAUUUCUUUAUUGACCUCAUAAAAUAUUACUGAAUGCCUAAUAUGUAGGAGCUCCUGUAAUUUUUUCAGACCUUAUAAUGUGUCCAAUGGUGAAACAGACAUGGUAAAUAAAGCAAUUACAGAACAGUGUGAUAAAUGCUGUGAUGGGGGAUAUUUCCAGGGUCCUUGGCAUACACAGGCACAAUUCAACUAUAACCCCUGCAGGAAGUAUGUGUAUGGAGGGAGCACCUAAGACAUGUGAAAAAUGACUAAGAAUGAGCCAGGCAAAAGGGGUCUGGAUCCAAACCCACAAAAUCUCCAAGAUAUGCAUAUAAAUGGUGUGUGAAUGAUGUUUCAAUAAAACAUUAAAAAAAAAACUAUUAGUUCUGUAUAGCUGCAGUGGAGUAAAAACUAUGCUAUUUGUUCUGGUCUUUGAUAAAAGGAAUGGAAGCCAUGGAAGGGAUUUAAGCAGGAUGAAAACAUCUGAACAUGCACAAGACUGUGUGUCAAGUUUGAAGUAUCUGGAACAUCAACUGGCCAUGACUGGACUUAACUAGAAUGUCUGUGGGGGUGAG
Molecule: long non-coding RNA, 719 nt
Organism: Canis lupus familiaris (dog)
Lineage: Eukaryota; Metazoa; Chordata; Mammalia; Carnivora; Canidae
Exons: 3
Source: RefSeq, a predicted model, not a curated record